Molecule: ribosomal RNA, 178 nt
Filed under: Pleuroloma plana
Lineage: Eukaryota; Metazoa; Arthropoda; Diplopoda; Polydesmida; Xystodesmidae
Description: partial small subunit ribosomal RNA
Source: RNAcentral
UGUUGGAAUUACGGAUGGGUAUUAGGAUUAGUAUCAUGAAGGUGGAUUUGUAAGUAAUUAUUUUUUUAAUAUUAUUUGAUGAAGGGUGGAAUAACAUGUGUACAUAUUGCCCGUCGCUCUCGUUAUUAUUGAGAUAAGUCGUAACAUAGUUGAUGAACUGGAAAGUGUAUCUUUUUGA